RNAcentral lists this ribosomal RNA (500 nucleotides) under uncultured bacterium. RNAcentral's name for it is "partial 16S ribosomal RNA". It matches the Rfam family "Bacterial small subunit ribosomal RNA", at positions 30 to 523 of the family's 1533-position model. The record is from RNAcentral.
AUUGAACGCUGGCGGCAUGCCUUACACAUGCAAGUCGAACGGUAACAGGGAGCUUGCUCCGCUGACGAGUGGCGAACGGGUGAGUAAUGUAUCGGAACGUACCUUUUAGUGGGGGAUAACGUAGCGAAAGUUACGCUAAUACCGCAUAUUCUCUGAGGAGGAAAGCAGGGGACCUUCGGGCCUUGCGCUAAUAGAGCGGCUGAUAUCAGAUUAGCUAGUUGGUGAGGUAAAGGCUCACCAAGGCGACGAUCUGAAGCGGGUCUGAGAGGAUGAUCCGCCACACUGGAACUGAGACGCGGUCCAGACUCCUACGGGAGGCAGCAGUGGGGAAUUUUGGACAAUGGGGGGAACCCUGAUCCAGCCAUGCCGCGUGAGUGAAGAGGGCCUUCGGGUUGUAAAGCUCUUUCGGCCGGGAAAAAAUCGCAUGGGCUAAUACCCUGUGUGGAUGAUGGUACCGGAAUAAGAAGCACCGGCUAACUACGUGCCAGCCGCCGCGGUAA